GACGGAGGAUGCAAGCGUUAUCCGGAAUUAUUGGGCGUAAAGCGUCCGCAGGUGGCUAGUCAAGUCUGCUGUCAAAGCGCGGAGCUUAACUUCGUAAAGGCAGUGGAAACUGAUUAGCUAGAGCAUGGUAGGGGUAGAGGGAAUUCCCGGUGUAGCGGUGAAAUGCGUAGAGAUCGGGAAGAACACCAGUGGCGAAAGCGCUCUACUGGGCCAUGACUGACACUGAGGGACGAAAGCUAGGGGAGCGAAAGGG
This 253-nucleotide ribosomal RNA is filed under the name uncultured bacterium. RNAcentral describes it as "partial 16S ribosomal RNA". It matches the Rfam family "Bacterial small subunit ribosomal RNA", at positions 524 to 776 of the family's 1533-position model. The record is from RNAcentral.